RNAcentral lists this ribosomal RNA (207 nucleotides) under uncultured bacterium. RNAcentral describes it as "partial 16S ribosomal RNA". It matches the Rfam family "Bacterial small subunit ribosomal RNA", at positions 568 to 774 of the family's 1533-position model. The record is from RNAcentral.
UGCGUAGGUGGUUUUUUAAGUUAUCUGUGAAAUUCCCGGGCUCAACCUGGGAAGGCCAGAUAAGACUGGAAGACUUGAGUAUAGGAGAGGGCAGUGGAAUUUCCGGUGUAGCGGUGAAAUGCGUAGAGAUCGGAAGGAACACCAGUGGCGAAGGCGACUGCCUGGCCUGAUACUGACACUGAGGCACGAAAGCGUGGGUAGCAAACA